RNAcentral lists this ribosomal RNA (52 nucleotides) under Halimeda incrassata. RNAcentral describes it as "partial 28S ribosomal RNA". Lineage: Eukaryota; Viridiplantae; Chlorophyta; Ulvophyceae; Bryopsidales; Halimedaceae. The record is from RNAcentral.
UGCGAUGUCAUCGGCGAGGAAACCCGCUGAACUUAAGCAUAUCAAUAAGCGG